GUGUCCUUGGUGUAACGGUAACACACAACCCAUUGGAUUGGUCUGGGGUUCGACUCCCCGAGGGCGCC
Molecule: non-coding RNA, 68 nt
Organism: Mycena leptocephala
Lineage: Eukaryota; Fungi; Basidiomycota; Agaricomycetes; Agaricales; Mycenaceae
Source: the annotation of a GenBank genome assembly